AAUUACCAAGAAUCUGGGUAAUCGUAAAUUGCAGUAUAUUUAUCAGUAUUCUUAUUCCGCAUUAGUUUGUAAAACAUUGAUAUCCGUUUCAUUUAUAAUGAUGUCAUUGAAAAAAGAAAUCUAGUCCAAGUUGUGUAAUGGCUGCUACCUUCUCUUCUGCUCUCGCGUAAGCGUUAUCCCGUGUUGGAAAACCAGGUCUAGUCUUGAAAGACAAGCAGCUGGAGGCGUUGAAGUGUCUGUACGCUGGUGUUUAUGUGGGUACCGUACCGACCGGCUAUGGCAAGUCCCAGAGCAAGUCCAUCUGCUUUCCAGACACUCCCUUUCUUGAUUGAUGUGAAGCUUGACAGGACCAGUGCACCUCUCUCUGAAAGAAGUGUUGUGAUGGUGAUUUCUCCUCUUGUUUCUCUGAGUGAAGCCAUCUUCAAAGUGUUGGUGUGUCUGUUCGACGUUCAGUGCCAUUCUCUCUGGAAGGAAGUAUUGUUGUGACAUUUGCCGAAAAUUGGUCACAGAGUAAGUACGUGGUAUCUGAUCCGAGAACUGUGUGGCCUGAAUGUGUUUACAAUCCGAGGGACUUGUGUGUAUCCGAUCCGAGGGACUUGUUGCUUGAAUGUGUAUCCGGACUUGUUGCUUGAGUGUGUAUUAAUGGAUAGUGCUUUCAAUGGUUUAACUAAUUUCUUAUGAGAUUAACUUGUCGCCUGAGUGUGUAUCCGAUCCGAGCCUCAAGUUAAUGAAUAAAUCUACAGAGCUGAUGUUUUACUUAGCUGUCUCUGUCUACAGUAUAUACAGAGAGGUAGCCUCUUCUUUUUCUUUUUUCUGUUCUUUAUCACAAUAACUGUUUUAACGUUCAA
Molecule: long non-coding RNA, 848 nt
Organism: Halichondria panicea
Lineage: Eukaryota; Metazoa; Porifera; Demospongiae; Suberitida; Halichondriidae
Exons: 2
Source: RefSeq, a predicted model, not a curated record